This 797-nucleotide long non-coding RNA is filed under the name Canis lupus familiaris (dog). RNAcentral's name for it is "lncRNA (ENSCAFG00040024186.1)". The record is from RNAcentral. Lineage: Eukaryota; Metazoa; Chordata; Mammalia; Carnivora; Canidae.
GCGGCUCCAAGGUAGGGGAAGGUCUGGGUGUCCACCAGGCGGCCUCGCCAAGGAGGAACUUGGCACAAAUUCUCCAGCUCGCAGGGAGAGCGGGCAAAAGCCAGCAAGCCGGAGUACGAAGAGCGCCCCCGUGGGAGGCGGGAGCUGAGGCUGCCACCGAGCCACCCGCCUUUGCCCCCAAACCCAGGGCAGAGGGGCUGCGGGGACCGGUACGGCCCCCGAACCGAGCUGGAGCUGCCGGGAGGAAAGUCAGGUCCCCUCUGCGCUCCGGGUUCGCCCCCCGCCCCCCGCCCGCGGGGAAGAUGCCCCGGGCCCCGGCACGCAGCGGCGGGGGCUCCUCCCCGCGGGGAAGAUGCCCCGGGCCCGGGUCGCGGAAGGGCGGGCGUGGCCCAGGGAAUCCCGCGAAGCCGCCCCAGCGCCUGCCGGCGGGGCGCCCCGGGCUUUCCCCGCCGCCGGGUGCGCGGCGCCCGCCCGGCGCGGACCCUCCUGCCCCGCGGAGCGCGAGCCCCGGAGCCAAGCAGGAUCCCCUCGCGUCCUCCCGCCGCCUCCCCCGGGGCUUUCGCGCUGGAGACGGUGAAGGGAGUCAGGGAUGUGAGGACGGGGGGAGACGCCGGGAGCUGCCGCCCGCCGGGGAGACCCUCCUCUCCGCCGAGGGGAGGGGGACCGCCAGCCACAGAUCAUUGGCGAAGGGGACCGUCGCGGGGAGAGGAGCCCCGGAGGGAGCGGGGGAUCCCACGACCCUGCGUGGCGCCCGAGCCGUGCCGCCGGCCAGCGGGGUCGGUGGGAGCAGAGGCUAA